RNAcentral lists this ribosomal RNA (468 nucleotides) under uncultured bacterium. RNAcentral's name for it is "partial 16S ribosomal RNA". It matches the Rfam family "Bacterial small subunit ribosomal RNA", at positions 28 to 507 of the family's 1533-position model. The record is from RNAcentral.
GACGAACGCUGGCGGCGUGCUUAACACAUGCAAGUCGAACGGAAAGGCCCUGCUUUUGUGGGGUGCUCGAGUGGCGAACGGGUGAGUAACGCGUGAGUAACCUGCCCUUGACUUUGGGAUAACUUCAGGAAACUGGGGCUAAUACCGGAUAGGAGCUCCUGCUGCAUGGUGGGGGUUGGAAAGUUUCGGCGGUUGGGGAUGGACUCGCGGCUUAUCAGCUUGUUGGUGGGGUAGUGGCUUACCAAGGCUUUGACGGGUAGCCGGCCUGAGAGGGUGACCGGCCACAUUGGGACUGAGAUACGGCCCAGACUCCUACGGGAGGCAGCAGUGGGGAAUAUUGCACAAUGGGCGGAAGCCUGAUGCAGCAACGCCGCGUGCGGGAUGACGGCCUUCGGGUUGUAAACCGCUUUCGCCUGUGACGAAGCGUGAGUGACGGUAAUGGGUAAAGAAGCACCGGCUAUCUACGUG